AGUCUGCGUGGAGCCAACCUUGAAAUACCACCCUUUAAUGUUUGAUGUUCUAACGUUGGCCCCUGACCGGGGUUGCGGACAGUGUCUGGUGGGUAGUUUGACUGGGGCGGUCUCCUCCCAAAGCGUAACGGAGGAGCACGAAGGUUAGCUAAUCCUGGUCGGACAUCAGGAGGUUAGUGCAAUGGCAUAAGCUAGCUUGACUGCGAGCGUGACGGCGCGAGCAGGUGCGAAAGCAGGUCAUAGUGAUCCGGUGGUUCUGAAUGGAAGGGCCAUCGCUCAACGGAUAAAAGGUACUCCGGGGAUAACAGGCUGAUACCGCCCAAGAGUUCAUAUCGACGGCGGUGUUUGGCACCUCGAUGUCGGCUCAUCACAUCCUGGGGCUGAAGUAGGUCCCAAGGGUAUGGCUGUUCGCCAUUUAAAGUGGUACGCGAGCUGGGUUUAGAACGUCGUGAGACAGUUCGGUCCCUAUCUGCCGUGGGCGCUGGAGAAUUGAGGGGGGCUGCUCCUAGUACGAGAGGACCGGAGUGGACGCAUCACUGGUGUUCGGGUUGUCAUGCCAAUGGCACUGCCCGGUAGCUAAAUGCGGAAGAGAUAAGUGCUGAAAGCAUCUAAGCACGAAACUUGCCCCGAGAUGAGUUCUCCCUGAGACUU
Molecule: ribosomal RNA, 651 nt
Filed under: Klebsiella pneumoniae
Lineage: Bacteria; Pseudomonadati; Pseudomonadota; Gammaproteobacteria; Enterobacterales; Enterobacteriaceae
Description: partial 23S ribosomal RNA
Rfam family: Bacterial large subunit ribosomal RNA
Source: RNAcentral